GGUGCCGGAGCACCCUAUCUUAUCCUGUUUUGUACUAAAUUCAUUUAUUUAUAUUUUCUUACAUGUAGUAAAUUUUUUUUUAUCACAUCUUUUUUUUUUUAGACCCAGACAGAAUCUCCUCUUUUUUUAUUAAUGCAUGGUGGGUGUCACUGUUUACCUUGUAAAAACAAAUUAUAUCCAUUUCAUUUUUCUUAAACCAUGUCAUAUUAUCACAAUACUUAUAAUCAUUUCAAGUAAAUUAAAUACUGUAUUGCAUUCAUAUAAACUCAAGUACAAUAUUUACAAUUUUAUUUACAAUUACAAAAUGACUUACACUGUUUACUUACAUACAAUAACCAAAAUGCAAAAUUUAACUAUAUAUUAGCCCUAUCAAAAUAACAGUCUAAGGUAACAACCACUCUGUAGCAGACCUGAUCAGAAUCCUAUCUAGCACUACUACUACUGAUACUGCUGCUGCUGCUGCUCUCUUGUACCUACGCGAUGGAAAAACCAACCGCUAAGCAUAACGCUUAGUAGUGCAUAAAAUAAAGGAAAAAUAACUAAACAAUUUAAAAUAAUUAUUCUAUGUGUAAUUUCAUAAAUUUCUAAGUUAUUUACAUAUUUUAUGAAAUUUUGGGAGCAAGUAAAUUAUUAUGAUCUUUUUUGGUCAUUUAUGUCAUUUUCAAUCUCAUUGCUCAUCUCUGUGAUGUCUUCAUGUAAUUAUUUAAAUUUAAGACUUAUUAUUCAUAUCUGUGCCCAAGCAACCUAUAACAAACUAUAAAUACUAGAUACACGAAAGUAUACUAGUUAAACAUCCGUAUGUUUGAUAUGUAUAUAUCUGUCAUGUUAGGCACAAGGCCAACGGGCAGACACAAAGACAGUAGAAUAACCAUCUUAGACAUAUAUUGUCUAUCAAUGAUUAUUCCUGUAGGCAAUACUGCAAUCUGUAGUCCCUAAUUGGUAUACUAAUCGAUCCAUGCCAUAUAAAUAAGUCUAGGUGUACUUUGGGUAAAAUAAAAUUAUUAAGGAUUUAUAAUUUUAUAAUAUGCACUAAUUGUGUUUCCAUAGCAUUUUCAUGCCACUAUAUGUCUAUUUAUGUUAUUCUUAUGUUUAAAAAAUUAUUUUAGUUCAUUCCAUGUCAUAUGCGAAGUCAUUUUAUGAACCUUUCUCAAGGUCCAGAUUUGGUGUCCUAAAUUCAUCUAGCAAAUUGGUUAAGAUGGAGCCACUGUUUGACCACACUUCUUUCAUAGAAGUUGUUCUGAUAUGUCUUGUCUUUGUUUUUCUUUUUGAAUCAUGUCAUUUGAAGUUUUAGAACUCAAGUUAUGGUCAAAUAACCAAAACUGGUUCCUUAACUCACUCAAGUUCCAGAACCAGACAGAUUUUGGAAUCAAUCUUUUCCUAAUUAUUUGGACAUGUUACAGCCACUUUUAGGCCUAAUGUUUUUCAUGGAAGUUGUUACCCUAUGUUUUAGGAUCACUCAGAUUUUUGAAUUACAAUUUUGCAAGUUUAGUAGAAUUAGUUAUAACCAAUUAACUAGUUUGGACUUAGAUACCCUGUGCCAACAGGAUUCCAGUUCAGGUCAACGACUUUGACUCCAAUUUCAGGGUCCUUACACUCAUAAUUUGAGGAAGGUUCCUAAAUCAAAGUUAGAGCCCUGUCUCUUAGAUUUCCAGAACAGUUUGGCUCAUCCCAUUUGGGAUUUCCUAGUGGGAGAUAUGGUUUAAAGACUGUUCUGAGGUCAAGUGAUCACUUAGAAAAUUUUCAGAAUUUGUAUUUUAACUUUACCUAACCAAUUGACCUCGUUCCCUUGAUUUCUGGGUUUUGGUCAAAAUAUCAAUAUUGUAGAUCUAUGUCUUGUGGAAAUUUUGCCACUGGUUUCACUGCAUUUGGGUUUUUAUAGACUAAGUUAUGACCUUUUUGCCAAAACUGGUCAGAUAUGCCUAAGUCCAAAAUUUCUAGACAAUUUGGUUCUGGACAGUUUUGUUAAUCUAACUUGUGCUAGCAAUUUGGUUUGGUUAGAGGCAUUUCUGGGUUCUGUGUUCUUCAUGAAAGUUGUAGUCCUAUAUCUAAACUUUUCAAUAGUAUAAAAUUCAAGUCAUUUGAACCUGCCUAGAGGGAGUGAUGGCCAAAUGAACAUGGUUAUUUUUCUGGGUCUAGGGUAUGGUCAACCGGAUUCAAGCAGGAUUUAGGUCAAUUUGUGGACAGAAUUUGGGCAUUAUUUCUUCAUGAAAAAUGGAGUAUUUUAGCCCUAGUUGCAUCUCUAAUUGGCUUUAUACCAAUUGGAGCAACACAAUUCAAGUUAUGGUUUAGUAAGCAUGCUGGACUCAUUAGUCCAGAAAUCCUGCAUGAAAACACACUCUCAAUUUUUAAUUUUCUCCAACUCCCAUACUUUAAUUGGCAUACAUGACACUUCUAAUAGGCAACAAAUAGUCUCAACAACACCAAUUUCAUGUAAUAACACCAAAGUCCCAAAGUUAGGUCAAAACCCUAGCUCAAAGUUUCAAUCUCAAGCAUUCUUAAGGCAAUUCAACUUCUAAUGCAUAUAAGUUCAUCAAUCAACAUCACUAACUAAUUCAAAACCAUCAAUUCCUCACACUUUCCAUGGCUGCCAAAAUUAGGGUUUUCCCCUACUCAUGGUAUUCAUUUUAAUUUCAUGGAAAUUUACUUCAAUUUACUAUACUAAUCAUACUUGAGAAGGAAAUAAAUGUGUUUAGUGCACUAACCUUUUGUGAACACUUCUUGGACUUGUGAACUCAAAUUUUUCUUCACUUCUUGGCAGCCACAAUCUUCCUUAUGGUGUAAGGACAAUUUUUAAUGAAGGGAGCUUAGGGUUUUAUAGUAAGAAAUGAUGGGAAAUUGAGCUAGGAAAGAUGGAAAUAGAGGAGAGAAAGCUCUCCAUAUGGUUCGGCCAUGGGAGAAGGGUGAAGAAGAAGAUAGGCUUUUAUUAAUUUUUGUCUCAUUUAACAUUAAUUUUUGUCUCAUUUAACACUCUUUCUUAUCCCUUAAUAGUUAUUUGUUGAGCUCGCAUUUGUUACCACUUUUUAUGAUGUCAUUAUGACAUUAUACUCAUGCAAUAUAUUUUUUUUUCUUUUCCCAUUUCUAUACAUAAUCUCACAAUUUAAUUUAUUUUAUGCAUUUUAAUCUCUCUCAUUUUAAUUAAUAUUUCAGUUAAAAUUCAACUAUAUGGUUAAAAUGACCAAAAUGCCCUUCACUAGGCUCAUCGGGUUAUUUUUUGUCAGUACCGAUUAACUAAUUUUCCUGAAUUUGUUUAACAUUUUUAAUGUUAUUUAAUUUUCAUAAAUUCUCUAAUUUAAUCCCGAAAAUUAUUUUCUAAAGUUCCUCGCGGGACUAGGGUCAGCAACUGUCUUCACAGUCGCUUCCCAGUAUGGUCACCCAUCGCCGUGACCCCGGCUCGUUUAACCGAGUUGUACUUCGCUUCUUUUACUUUUCUUUAAUUUCACUUAGUCUAUAUUCAGUCAAUUUA
This 3463-nucleotide unclassified non-coding RNA is filed under the name Hevea brasiliensis (rubber tree). Lineage: Eukaryota; Viridiplantae; Streptophyta; Magnoliopsida; Malpighiales; Euphorbiaceae. The record is from RNAcentral.